AUGAACGCUAGCGACAGGCCUAACACAUGCAAGUCAGGGCAGCACAAGGAGCAAUCUGAGGUGGCGACCGGCGCACGGGUGAGUAACACGUAUGCAACCUGCCUGUAAGCGGGGAAUAACCCGUUGAAAGACGGACUAAUACCGCAUAAUACUAAAUUACUGCAUGGUAAUUUAUUUAAACAUUUAUGGCUUACAGAUGGGCAUGCGCAUGAUUAGCUAGUUGGAGAGGUAACGGCUCCCCAAGGCAACGAUCAUUAGGGGUUCUGAGAGGAGGGUCCCCCACACUGGUACUGAGACACGGACCAGACUCCUACGGGAGGCAGCAGUGAGGAAUAUUGGUCAAUGGACGAGAGUCUGAACCAGCCAAGUCGCGUGCAGGAAGAAUGUCCUAUGGAUUGUAAACUGCUUUUGCAGGGGAAUAAAGUGCAUCACGUGUGAUGUUUUGUAUGUACUCUGCGAAUAAGGAUCGGCUAACUCCGUGCCAGCAGCUGC
Molecule: ribosomal RNA, 492 nt
Filed under: uncultured bacterium
Lineage: Bacteria
Description: bacterial SSU rRNA
Rfam family: Bacterial small subunit ribosomal RNA
Source: RNAcentral